RNAcentral lists this ribosomal RNA (253 nucleotides) under uncultured bacterium. RNAcentral describes it as "partial 16S ribosomal RNA". It matches the Rfam family "Bacterial small subunit ribosomal RNA", at positions 524 to 776 of the family's 1533-position model. RNAcentral also lists the same sequence under 2 other names. The record is from RNAcentral.
UACGUAGGGGACAAGCGUUGUCCGGAAUCACUGGGCGUAAAGGGCGCGUAGGCGGUUUUAUAAGUCAGAUGUGAAAGGUACCGGCUCAACCGGUGACGUGCAUUUGAAACUGUAAGACUUGAGUACUGGAGAGGCAAGUGGAAUUCCUAGUGUAGCGGUGAAAUGCGUAGAUAUUAGGAGGAACACCGGUGGCGAAGGCGGCUUGCUGGACAGAUACUGACGCUGAGGUGCGAAAGCGUGGGGAGCGAACAGG